Heterocephalus glaber (naked mole-rat) is the source of this 1596-nucleotide non-coding RNA. The record is from RefSeq and is a predicted model, not a curated record. Lineage: Eukaryota; Metazoa; Chordata; Mammalia; Rodentia; Bathyergidae.
AGGGAUGAGUGUGGACAUUUCCGGUGUGUCUCACCUUCAUUUGAGUUGAGGAUGUUUGCUGGAGGGGAAAGAGGCAGCCAAAACCAACUGUGAGCAAGUACUUUUGAAGACAAAUUCCCAGGCAUAUUCUCGACUCAGCUAUAGUUGAAGGUCAUUUUCUUCAAUUCCUGAAAGAAAUGUAUUAGCUGCGUUCAUCCUUGGAAGAUGGACUUUGAGAAUCACAACUAGAGCUACUGUUGCUGUUGAGCUGCUUCCUACGUGGCAGGCCUCCAAGAAGCUGAGAUUAUUACUGGAUGUGUGAGAUACCUGGAACACAAACUAAAGAAGGGAAGCCGUGAUGGGGGUGUCAGCCAGGAUGGCAGGACAGGUAAAUUAGAUACAGAGCAAAGAAAUUAUUGAGUCACUAAUAUCAUCAAGACUGUUGUGUGGAAAUGUGUGCUCGGGCACAACUGUUUACCAUAAGAACUGGUUCCUGACUGCCAUAGAUUUUCUCACUUUUCUCUGGAGUUCUAAUCCAAAGUCACCCUGAAACAUAGCAAAAAAUUUUAUCCUUGAAUGAUUCACUUCCUGAACAGUACUUGGUCCUCUUAGUCAUUACUUUUGGGUGAGAGAGUAAAUGAAAUCAUACCACCAGUUAUAUUUUAGUCUUCAGAGAAAUGGUAGAUUGAUGAUUCUCUGGCCUUCUUAAAUCCCAACUUCAAAAAUAAGAAGCUAGAAAAAACUUAUUCACAUUUCUAGCUUUAAAAGGAGAUAAAAACCAAAUUAGCUAUCUUUGUUUAGCAAAGGUAUAGAAACGUUCUUCUAGUUAUAACCACCUAAAGAUUGAGGGACCUAUUUGUGUUCGUUGAGAGCUGAGUGAUACUAAAGGAAUUCAGAUUUGGAUAGGCUCAACACUUGUCUUAUACAACACUGCAAGGGUUCAGAUCAUAGGUUUAAGCAAAUAAUCUUUAUAGCCACUUUCAAUUUUGGGUGGCAUAUUUAAAUAAUAAGAGCUAUUCAUGCUUAAGAACAAUUGGGGUUUUAAAAAAGAAAAGAAACUUUGGCGAGCUUGUGUUUUCCCAUUUGCUCUUCUAAUUAUCACCACACCAGUACUCUACCAAUAUAUAGGAAGCAAAUAGAUGAAGAGUAUGUUUGGUAAAAGAAUAAUAAUCCUAAAUUGUGUGUCAAGACAACAGAUACAAUUUUAUUUCUUAUGGAACUGUUCAUGGAUUGCCAAGUAACUCAUCUAGACUUUUCAUACUUUCUCUUGAAGCUGUUUUUAAAGUCAGCAAAAAUAAAGAGUGAUCAGCUGUAAUUUAAGUCAUAAAUAAUCAGCACAAAGAAUAUGGAUGAAUAACAGUUGGAGGGCUGGAAGCUGACUGUAGUUAUUAGUGCUGAUCUAAAACAAAAGGACUCAUAAAGCAAAAUGGGGUUUCCUUGUAUUUUCUGUUAUCUAGCUUCAGUAAAUUUCUGCUUUAAAUAACUGAAAGUCACUUUUUUGUCUUCUUUCUGAACAAAGGCUUCUCUCUAAAUGCAUGUGAAGUUUUCAUGUGAUAUGCUUACUAAUGGGCCAGAGGUCCUCAUUUUGUCUAAAUAAAUAUUAUAUGGAGUACUCUU